UUAAUAACAUCUGCAAUAUGCUCAGUAAAAAUCCAGCUCUCCUCUUGCCACUUGUUUCACAGCAUUUCUACUCUACAUUUCAGGUAUUCUACCCAUCUCCAUGAGCUCAGUGCAGCCAGCUCGACCCAUAAAAGAUUUAACAGGUAUAGCAUGCAGAGGUGUAGGCGGUCAUUCAAAAUAUCAAGAGUUGCUGGUGCUCACUGAGUGACGUAGAAGAUCUUUGGCAGCCUGCGUUUAUCUCUGACCUGGUCAAUGGCAGACGGAGGAUUUGUGUCAUUCUAAGAGUGAGACCACGAUCGUGUCCUCCUGCAUGGAUGAAAAGUGAAGAAAGCUUCACUAAUCCAGCAUAGCAUGAAUUUCAUGUUCCUGCUGUUCACCUGCCUUUCUGCCUCACCAAGUAUGCAUUUUUUUUAAGGUUGAUGUGCGUCAUUAGACCUGUGUGAAGCUAAUCUCCCUGCAGCAACAUCUUCCCCUCUAUCAGGGGGAGUCACCAGGUUCCUAUGACUAAGUCACAUGCUUCUGCAUCUCUGUGAAUGAAAGACACAGAAGGACAUGAAACAUUUAUAGGUGAAAGACAAAUAUUUUGAUAAAUGAUAAUUUA
Lates calcarifer (barramundi perch) is the source of this 601-nucleotide long non-coding RNA. RefSeq lists it as uncharacterized. The record is from RefSeq and is a predicted model, not a curated record. Lineage: Eukaryota; Metazoa; Chordata; Actinopteri; Centropomidae. The transcript has 3 exons.